GUCUUAUAUAAUAUAUUUAAUCCAUGAUAAUACAUAGUUUAUAUAGUAAUACCUUAAAUAUCCUUUGACUAUUACUGCAUGCAACUGUGAUCCACAGGCUCAGCACAUGGACACAAUGACCACAGCCAAUAUACAACAUGAAGUAAAUGUUAUUAAUUUAUUUUUCAUUUUUAAUGCUCUUAAAUAGCAAAAAUAGUUUUAUUUUAUUCAUGACAUAAAUGAAAACAUAGUUACUCCUCACACCAGUUUGGUAAGUGGGGAACAUUUUCCUUCCACUCAGGUGACCACAGUUCGAAUAGCAGGAUUUCACUGAACCACAAGCAAAAAUACAUCCUUUAGCCAAAGUUAGCAAAAACGAUACCGAGCCCAAACUCUUUAAAGAUAAUUUGACUUGUUUAAACUCUACAUGUAACUGAAUACCGUGUGCUUGUGUAGGUCGUUAGUAUAAUCCAUUAAGCCUACCUCAGUGUGGGGGAGCAAACUGCCCCUAAUGAGUCCACAUAAAUAAAGUGCUAAUGAAAGUGAAAUAAGUCUAACUGCACUCAACAAAUAGCCCACCUGCCAUAUCUCUGUUUGCAGGCACAGAAAGGUGGGCAAAUGAGGCAGUUAUUUGUGAAAGGACAAUCUAAAGUAAGUCUUUACGAUUCAGUAGGUUGCGAGUUUAGUUAAAUACAUUUCAGUUCUGGGAGCAGCGCUGCUGUUGCUAACUGUGAGAAUACUUAGCGGGGUUAGUGUGACAGUGCAUUAGCAGCCCGAGUCCAUUCUCUGCGUCCCCAGAGAGACCAGAGCGGGCAUAUUAACAUUCUCCUCAGAAGGGCCACAGGAUCUGCCUUCAAUGCCGUCUGACUCCAAACAAAAGACGGUGCGUGUGUGUGCGUGUGUGUGUGUGUGCGUGUUUGAGUGUGAGACGCAGACAGGCUGGGAGUGUGCAUGUGUAACUGUGUGCAAGACGAGACAAAAAGGAGGGAGAAAGAACAAGAGAAAACCGUCUAUAGGAGGAGGAGGUAAGUUUCAGUAUAUAUUUACCAUUGCUGGGUGUCUAUAGUUUAAUAAUGUAACCACACUGCGUGCUGCAAAUCAAUGUGCAAGGAAUAUUUUCUGGUAAACAAGUCCUCUUUUGAACUUGUUUCUUUUCUCCAAGUUUAAAAAGAUUAAUUUCCGUAACAUCUACAAAUGAAGGACAAAAUUGAAGAUAUCGAUAUAAUGACCUCGCUUAUAUUUAUGUUUUAUUUAUUUUUGACCAAUCAUUAAAUCCACAACAUUCACAACAACCUCUCAGACUCUUAAGCUUU
Molecule: long non-coding RNA, 1292 nt
Organism: Astatotilapia calliptera (eastern happy)
Lineage: Eukaryota; Metazoa; Chordata; Actinopteri; Cichliformes; Cichlidae
Source: Ensembl